ACGCUCGACACCUACGGGAGCAGCAGUGGGGAAUAUUGCACAAUGGGGGAAACCCUGAUGCAGCGACGCCGCGUGAGCGAAGAAGUAUUUCGGUAUGUAAAGCUCUAUCAGCAGGGAAGAAGAAAGACGGUACCUGACUAAGAAGCCCCGGCUAACUACGUGCCAACAGCCGCGGUAAUCUGAGCGGGCUGGCAAGGC
RNAcentral lists this ribosomal RNA (198 nucleotides) under uncultured bacterium. Its description in RNAcentral is "partial 16S ribosomal RNA". It matches the Rfam family "Bacterial small subunit ribosomal RNA", at positions 328 to 539 of the family's 1533-position model. The record is from RNAcentral.